Molecule: ribosomal RNA, 301 nt
Filed under: uncultured bacterium
Lineage: Bacteria
Description: partial 16S ribosomal RNA
Rfam family: Bacterial small subunit ribosomal RNA
Source: RNAcentral
CAGCCGCCACGGUAAUACGUAGGUGGCAAGCGUUGUCCGGAAUUAUUGGGCGUAAAGGGCUCGCAGGCGGUUUCUUAAGUCUGAUGUGAAAGCCCCCGGCUCAACCGGGGAGGGUCAUCGGAAACUGGGAAACUUGAGUGCAGAAGAGGAGAGUGGAAUUCCACGUGUAGCGGUGAAAUGCGUAGAGAUGUGGAGGAACACCAGUGGCGAAGGCGACUCUCUGGUCUGUAACUGACGCUGAGGAGCGAAAGCGUGGGGAGCGAACAGGAUUAGAGACCCGAGUAGUCCCUGUCUCUUAUAC